UACAUAGGGUGCGAGCGUUAAUCGGAAUUACUGGGCGUAAAGCGUGCGCAGGCGGUUUUGUAAGCCAGAUGUGAAAUCCCCGGGCUUAACCUGGGAAUUGCGCUUGUGACUGGCGUGCUGGAGUGUGGCAGAGGGAGGUGGAAUUCCACGUGUAGCAGUGAAAUGCGUAGAGAUGUGGAGGAACACCGAUGGCGAAGGCAGCCUCCUGGGCCAGCACUGACGCUCAUGCACGAAAGCGUGGGGAGCAAACAGG
Molecule: ribosomal RNA, 253 nt
Filed under: uncultured bacterium
Lineage: Bacteria
Description: partial 16S ribosomal RNA
Rfam family: Bacterial small subunit ribosomal RNA
Source: RNAcentral